This 460-nucleotide ribosomal RNA is filed under the name uncultured bacterium. Its description in RNAcentral is "partial 16S ribosomal RNA". It matches the Rfam family "Bacterial small subunit ribosomal RNA", at positions 338 to 795 of the family's 1533-position model. The record is from RNAcentral.
CCUACGGGAGGCAGCAGUGAGGAAUAUUGGUCAAUGGACGAGAGUCUGAACCAGCCAAGUAGCGUGAAGGAUGACUGCCCUAUGGGUUGUAAACUUCUUUUAUAUGGGAAUAAAAUGUUCCACGUGUGGGAUUUUGUAUGUACCAUAUGAAUAAGGAUCGGCUAACUCCGUGCCAGCAGCCGCGGUAAUACGGAGGAGCCGAGCGUUAUCCGGAUUUUUUGGGUUUAAAGGGAGCGUAGGUGGAUUGUUAAGUCAGUUGUGAAAGUUUGCGGCUCAACCGUAAAAUUGCAGUUGAAACUGGCAGUCUUGAGUACAGUAGAGGUGGGCGGAAUUCGUGGUGUAGCGGUGAAAUGCUUAGAUAUCACGAAGAACUCCGAUUGCGAAGGCAGCUCACUGGACUGCAACUGACACUGAGGCUCGAAAGUGUGGGUAUCAAACAGGAUUAGAUACCCCAGUAGUC